UCUCUUGUGCUCGGGCACGCACAUGCGGCAGUGAAGUCUCGACUGAGCCCAUGUCUUUUGCUGAUUGCAAAUUACACAUCCGAACCCGUCUAUUAGCUUUGGCUUUUAGCAAUUUUUCGACAACACCCAUACCGUGU
This is a small nuclear RNA of Stereum hirsutum FP-91666 SS1, 137 nucleotides long. It matches the Rfam family "U4 spliceosomal RNA". Rfam says of the family: U4 small nuclear RNA (U4 snRNA) is a component of the major U2-dependent spliceosome. The structure of U4 snRNA from yeast and human has been reported. The record is from Rfam. Lineage: Eukaryota; Fungi; Basidiomycota; Agaricomycetes; Russulales; Stereaceae.